Molecule: ribosomal RNA, 502 nt
Filed under: uncultured bacterium
Lineage: Bacteria
Description: partial 16S ribosomal RNA
Rfam family: Bacterial small subunit ribosomal RNA
Source: RNAcentral
GACGAACGCUGGGGGCGUGCCUAAUACAUGCAAGUCGAACGAACCGCGACUAGGUGCUUGCACUUGGUCAAGGUGAGUGGCGAACGGGUGAGUAACACGUGGGUAACCUACCUCAUAGUGGGGGAUAACAGUCGGAAACGACUGCUAAUACCGCAUAGGACAUAGGAUCACAUGAUCCAGUGAGGAAAGGUGGCGCAAGCUAUCGCUAAGAGAUGGACCCGCGGUGCAUUAGCUAGUUGGUAGGGUAAAGGCCUACCAAGGCGAUGAUGCAUAGCCGACCUGAGAGGGUGAUCGGCCACAUUGGGACUGAGACACGGCCCAAACUCCUACGGGAGGCAGCAGUAGGGAAUCUUCCGCAAUGGACGCAAGUCUGACGGAGCAACGCCGCGUGAGUGAAGAAGGUCUUCGGAUCGUAAAGCUCUGUUGUUAGAGAAGAACAGCGCAUAGAGUAACUGUUAUGCGUGUGACGGUAUCUAACCAGAAAGCCACGGCUAACUACGUG